AUGCCAUUUAUUUCCCGCUAUACAAAUAGGCGGGGAAACGCGCGUGUGCCUGGUCAUGAAUAAAACGUUGAUUGGUUAAAAAGAAAAAGUGGGUGUGGCCACGAACAUGACGUUUAGUGUUUAUGUCGCUGGUGCUGUGGAGAGGCUGUUCAUUCACACUCACUAAAGCACACUUCAGCUUCACUGCUUAAACUCAUUGGCUUCAGGCUGUCAAGUCAAAGUUAACUUUUUUUUUCAACGUAAAGGCAAACGAAUAGCUUGUUUAGAUGUAGGAAGACUAACACAAGACGUGCUGACAAGAAAAACUUGAACGUGUCGUUAACCAGCUGAAACAACAACAACAACAACGUUUGUUUGCUUAAAAUUGAUAGACGUCGCGAAGGAACGCAAACUUUUCCUGUGCGGUCUUCAAGGAGUAAAAGUUACUCUUCAGCUGAAGUGCAGAAAAGAAAGGAACGGGAGAGAAACGGAGAAUAAUCAGUGUAUCUGUAAAAACAUCCAGUAUAGGAGAUGGAGUUCUCUCUGAUCCCAGCGCAGGAUUUGUGGGCGAUAGUAGCUGAAAAAGUGUCCUUGGAUCCAAAUUUACUGCAAAUACUAGGCAAUCCAGCAUUAUCCAGUCACCUUCAUGGACUCCCC
Ictalurus punctatus (channel catfish) is the source of this 636-nucleotide long non-coding RNA. RefSeq lists it as uncharacterized. Lineage: Eukaryota; Metazoa; Chordata; Actinopteri; Siluriformes; Ictaluridae. The record is from RefSeq and is a predicted model, not a curated record. The transcript has 3 exons.